UCAAGUCAAGUAUUAGGUCAAGUAUUUUAAAGCAAAACUAUUUUAUUAUGGAACUGCUUUGUGCUCAAUGUACUAUUUUAUCGGGUUAAAGUAGUCAUUUCAAUUUGGUUGAAAAUAAUAUUGGAGGAACUGCAUUGCACACGAAGACAGCUUUGGUGCAGAUUGAAAAUUCAAACUCUACACAGAGCCCAUCACAAUGGAUUGUUUGAUCCUGGUUCAACUGCCAAUUCAAAAAUGCAAGAAUAUUCAUUCCGACUACUUUACUAGAAAUCUCUCUAGAAACAUUUAAUCAGGUGUCCUUUCAACUUCUGCUGCUCUGCACACUAACUCCUUCACCAGGAACAUUUAAUCAGGUCCUUUCAACUUCUGCUGCUCUGCACACUAACUCCUUCACCAGGAACAUUUAAUCAGAUUUUCUCAAUUCAACUAUCACUGCCCUGAUGCUCAAAACAUCAUGAGUUUGGAAUGCUCAUCCAUGUAAAUGAUUCGCAAGUUGUUUUUUUUAAUGACUGCCUAUAAUUAUGCAUGAUUAACUUAACUCUUACUAAAUCACUAACACGACUAACCUCACUAACUUAAUCAGUUAUUAUAAAAACCACUUGUUGAGUUUUACAAUGAAUGUCUUGCUGAGAUUGCUUGAAAGACAUCGCUGCAUGAUUAAUCAGGGUAAGCGACAACUUCAAGCCAAGUAGUCUUCAACUCUCAACUUACUCUUGUCUUGAUCAAGACUUAUUCUCCAG
Ctenocephalides felis (cat flea) is the source of this 740-nucleotide long non-coding RNA. RefSeq lists it as uncharacterized. The transcript has 8 exons. The record is from RefSeq and is a predicted model, not a curated record. NCBI's taxonomy places the organism in Eukaryota, Metazoa, Arthropoda, Insecta, Siphonaptera, Pulicidae.